UUUUCACACAUAGUUAGUUGA
This 21-nucleotide non-coding RNA is filed under the name Caenorhabditis elegans. Lineage: Eukaryota; Metazoa; Nematoda; Chromadorea; Rhabditida; Rhabditidae. The record is from RNAcentral.